Molecule: ribosomal RNA, 253 nt
Filed under: uncultured bacterium
Lineage: Bacteria
Description: partial 16S ribosomal RNA
Rfam family: Bacterial small subunit ribosomal RNA
Source: RNAcentral
UACGAAGGGUGCAAGCGUUGUUCGGAUUUAUUGGGCGUAAAGCGCGCGUAGGCGGACCUGCAAGUCAGAUGUGAAAUCUCGGGGCUCAACCCCGAAACUGCGUCUGAAACUACAGGUCUAGAAUCUUGGAGGGGGUAGGGGAAUUUCGCAUGUAGGGGUAAAAUCCGUAGAUAUGCGAAGGAACACCAGAGGCGAAGGCGCCUACCUGGACAAGUAUUGACGCUGAGGCGCGAAAGCGUGGGGAUCAAACAGG